This is a long non-coding RNA of Tachyglossus aculeatus (Australian echidna), 1077 nucleotides long. RefSeq lists it as uncharacterized. NCBI's taxonomy places the organism in Eukaryota, Metazoa, Chordata, Mammalia, Monotremata, Tachyglossidae. The transcript is spliced from 5 exons. The record is from RefSeq and is a predicted model, not a curated record.
CAGAAGCUUUGAACCAGAACCUUUUUCGCUAAACCCGAGUUGACUUCUUUCAUCUAAUUCUGUGUAUCAGAUUCCUGAAAAGUCGGCGUUAAAAGAAGUGGAGCAGUCUUCAGAUAACAGCCUUUAGGACUUUACAAAUGAUGUCCCAGAAGCUUUGAACCAGAACCUUUCUCGCUAAACCCGAGUUGACUUCUUUCAUCUAAUUCUGUGUAUCAGAUUCGUGAAAAGUCGGCGUUAAAAGAAGUGGAGCAGUCUUCAGAUAACAGAUUCCUGAAAAGUCGGUGUUAUAAGAAGUGGAGCAGUCUUCAGAUAACAGGGAGCUGCUCCAACCCCUGAUGUCUUCCGUUAUCCUGCUGUGUACCGUCUCCAGCUCGAUCCUGCCCUUCCCGUGACGCAGUGACAAGAACACCCACCAGUUUCCAGCUGCAGUUGUUCUGUGGUUUAAUUCUGAUUUUGCAGCCUAGUCUGGAAUCACCGUGGCAUCUAGACUCCGGUCCAGAGAGAGAGUUGUGAAGGUUAUGAUGGCUAAGGGCCUCUGGGGAGGCUCCAGCUCUCCUGCCACCCGAAAGGAUGUGUCCCUGUGUGGCGCCGAGGGCACUGAGUCAGGAUAAGUUUCCAAUGAUGAAGGUAAGCUGGGGAAGGGGCGCAGCACUUAGCCUGACUCUUGGGGGAGGAGGGGGUGAAUCCUGUAGAAGGAACUGACAGUAGGCAUAACAGACAUCUCAUCAAAUUGGGCCAAGUGAUGAGUUGAAACUUAACUCAUCACGAGGGGAGCGGGGUCCACAGUCCAGUCCUGCCUCAGAUGCCGUCCUUGUGCACCUACCCCAACCACAACUCCACCAAUGCCUCGUUUGGGAUUUUGAAGACUAUUUUCAUGAGUUUGGAGUGACAUUUUAAUUUUUAAUUCUUCCCAAGACACAAACUAAACAGGCAUAGACAGUCGUUUAUUAUAAAAAAAACAACCCCAAAACCCCAUUGCUUAGUUCAGACAUAAGGAGGACAAACUGUACAUCCACAGAAAUUCAUUCUGGAUUGCUAGAUAAGUAUGGUAUUUGUUAAGUGCUUCCUAUUUGUCAA